RNAcentral lists this ribosomal RNA (518 nucleotides) under uncultured Diversispora. Its description in RNAcentral is "SSU rRNA". It matches the Rfam family "Eukaryotic small subunit ribosomal RNA", at positions 569 to 1090 of the family's 1831-position model. The record is from RNAcentral. Lineage: Eukaryota; Fungi; Glomeromycota; Glomeromycetes; Diversisporales; Diversisporaceae.
AGCAGCCGCGGUAAUUCCAGCUCCAAUAGCGUAUAUUAAAGUUGUUGCAGUUAAAAAGCUCGUAGUUGAACUUCGGGGUCUACCCAUUGGUCAGGCUUAAUUGUCUGCACUGGUGAGAUGGAUCUCUACCUUCUGAGGAACUUUCAUGCCAUUUAUUUGGUGUGGUUGGAAAUCAGGACUGUUACUUUGAAAAAUUAGAGUGUUUAAAGCAGACUAUCGUCUGAAUACAUUAGCAUGGAAUAAUGAAAUAGGACGGACUGAUUCUAUUUCGUUGGUUUCUAGGAUCACCGUAAUGAUUAAUAGGGAUAGUUGGGGGCAUUAGUAUUCAAUUGUCAGAGGUGAAAUUCUUGGAUUUAUUGAAGACUAACUACUGCGAAAGCAUUUGCCAAGGAUGUUUUCAUUAAUCAAGAACGAAGUUAGGGGAUCGAAGACGAUCAGAUACCGUGUAGUCUUAACCAUAAAACUAUGCCGACUAGGGAUCGGACGAAGUUAAUUUUAAUGACGCGUUCGGCACCUUA